GUCGCAAUGACUAAUCCAAUACAACAAGGAUUGAAAC
Candidatus Contendobacter odensis Run_B_J11 is the source of this 37-nucleotide non-coding RNA. The record is from Rfam. NCBI's taxonomy places the organism in Bacteria, Pseudomonadati, Pseudomonadota, Gammaproteobacteria, Candidatus Competibacteraceae.